UACGUAGGGUGCAAGCGUUAAUCGGAAUUACUGGGCGUAAAGCGUGCGCAGGCGGUUUUGCAAGACAGAUGUGAAAUCCCCGGGCUUAACCUGGGAACUGCAUUUGUGACUGCAAGGCUAGAGUGUGUCAGAGGGAGGUGGAAUUCCGCGUGUAGCAGUGAAAUGCGUAGAUAUGCGGAGGAACACCGAUGGCGAAGGCAAUCCCCUGGGCCUGUACUGACGCUCAUGCACGAAAGCGUGGGGAGCAAACAGG
This 253-nucleotide ribosomal RNA is filed under the name uncultured bacterium. RNAcentral describes it as "partial 16S ribosomal RNA". It matches the Rfam family "Bacterial small subunit ribosomal RNA", at positions 524 to 776 of the family's 1533-position model. The record is from RNAcentral.